Oreochromis niloticus (Nile tilapia) is the source of this 1971-nucleotide long non-coding RNA. RefSeq lists it as uncharacterized. The transcript has 3 exons. Lineage: Eukaryota; Metazoa; Chordata; Actinopteri; Cichliformes; Cichlidae. The record is from RefSeq and is a predicted model, not a curated record.
ACAGAAGAUGGAGCCGGCGGAAAGCGCUGGAUAAGAAUAAAUAAAACGAUUAAGGUCAUAAAUGUAACCUUUAAAACACCAAAGUUUUACAGAGGGACUCACCGUUUGGAAGAGCAGACAGCAGAAACAUCCACGUCAGGAACAUGACUCGUACCUGCGUUCAGACGGAGAAAGAUUUUUUUCAUAUUCAACUUCCUGUCGGGUGCACAAGCUCAUCAUAUCAGACCAAAUCCGAUCGGGCUUACCUGUCUGAUCGGGCUUACCUGUUGCUCCUGCGUUUCUAAAAGCUACCAGGCUCCUCACCUGUGGAACCAGCUCCCAGUGUGGGUUUGGGAGACAGACCCUCUCUCUACUUUUAAGAAUAGACUUCGAACUUUCCUUAUUGAUAAAGAUUAUAGUUAAAAAUGCUGUUUCUGUUGUAUGGACACAAUUGUAAUCUUUAGUAAAGACAACAUGAAACAUUAAGAAGAAAAUCACGUGAAAAAUGGUUUCAGCGACCGAAGGUAAUCCCACCAAUCUGUUACAGCACUGUUGACAGCACAGUCAUAUCACCGCAGCAAAUAUGCCAGCUUUAGAUCACAUUCACAGUGCAAACCUGGUGUGUGUUUGAUGAUCAUAAUCAAUAAUCAAAAUCGAGGUAAAAUGUUCAAUUAAUCGUGAUUUUCAUUUGAGGUCAUAGUAUUGACCCUGAUUUAUCCCCUAGUUUUUCUGCAAUAGGCUCCACUCUCACUCGAAAUGUGUUUAUAGAUCACUACCUGCUCCCUUAAUCCAAUUAAAUUAAAUGAAGUCAACAUUUAAAAACCAAAAGCUGCAGUCCCUCUUAUGUCCACUAGAGGCUGGCUUCAAAAGUGUGUCCAGUGUUCAGAACAGAAAUAAACAGCCUGGUUCAAAAACAGUUUCGGUUUCUGUGGGUAGUUUAACCCUUCGUAACCUCUGUACCUGUACAGGGUGACAUUUUUGCCAACCUAUUUAUUUGGAUGCUGGUAAGGUUUAAGUUUAGGGGUGUGGCCACGUUGAUUGACAGGUAUCACUGAGUACUUGCAGCUGCUAGCUGUGUGCUGGGCCUCAUUUACACUACUCUGAAUCACUGGACUAGAUUUCACCACCAUAUUUCAGCUGUCAGUGUACUUGUAAUGUUGUACGCUACAUCCAGUCGAAGACGUUUCCUUUUGGUGAUAUUACUUUGGUAACCAGCAGAUACUGGUCUAGCUAGACACUGCUAGCUAAGCUAGCUAGCAUUAGCUGAUAAAGUAGCACUCCACUCUGAGGCAAAUAUGGUCACUUCUGCCUCUGAGAUACCAACAUUUUAGCAACACUGAAGAUACAACAUAAAUCUGAUAUUUCAUAGUGGGCAUCUUUUAUAUACGGGGUAUCAUACUGAGCAUGUGCGGAGUCAGUGUAAGCACUCUAGCUUGUUUCUGAUUGUGGAAAUUAAGAUUAAUACACUCAUCCCCGAUCUUGCUUCCUGAAACAGGCUCGAAUAAACGAUAAAUGUAAAUUUCAUAUUCUGAUUUGCAUGUUGCUGUAAUUCUCUGCAAAACCAGAAGAGGUCACAGUUUGAAGCUUACUGAGCCGCUGCUCUCAGCAGCAACGACGCUGUGAUUCCUGCAAACGCUCAAAGCUGAGGAUCAUCGACCAAAUCACAGCAACAAAGUCAUCAGGUCACGCGUUUUUACAAAUACGUAACAUACACCUGAAAAUACUCUGACAUCACCCAUUACAGCGCUGACUCCCACACAAAAACAAGGACGACGACGCUCUCCACUUUCUCCGCUCAGUACUUCAAUGUUUCUAACAGCUUCAAACGGUUCGGCCCACCUGUGGCUCCUGUCCGCUCGAUGAGGGCAGCAUGGAGGGAUGUGAAGAAGAGUUUAAGGCCUCAGGAAAAGAGAACUGUGUGCUUUGCUGAGGUGGGUCUGCCAUGAUGAAACUACAAAGUGCUGAAGAUGGACCACAAAAGGCUAAUCUGAC